RNAcentral lists this ribosomal RNA (565 nucleotides) under uncultured bacterium. RNAcentral describes it as "bacterial SSU rRNA". It matches the Rfam family "Bacterial small subunit ribosomal RNA", at positions 338 to 916 of the family's 1533-position model. The record is from RNAcentral.
CCUACGGGAGGCAGCAGUGGGGAAUUUUCCGCAAUGGGCGAAAGCCUGACGGAGCAACGCCGCGUGGGUGAUGAAGUCUUUCGGGACGUAAAACCCUUUCAGCAGAGACGAACAAAAUGACGGUACCUGCAGAAGAAGCAUCGGCUAACUACGUGCCAGCAGCCGCGGUAAUACGUAGGAUGCGAGCGUUGUCCGGAUUUAUUGGGCGUAAAGCGAACGUAGGCGGUUUCUUAAGUUUGGUCUUAAAGACCGGGGCUCAACCCCGGGAGUGGACUGAAUACUGGGAAACUAGAGGAUGUUAGAGGAAAGUGGAAUUCCAAGUGUAGCGGUGAAAUGCGUAGAUAUUUGGAGGAACACCAGUGGCGAAAGCGGCUUUCUGGGACAUUUCUGACGCUGAGGUUCGAAAGCUCGGGGAGCAAACAGGAUUAGAUACCCUGGUAGUCCGAGCCGUAAACGAUGGACACUAGGUGUCGGGGGUAUCGACCCCCCCGGUGCCGUAGCUAACGCGUUAAGUGUCCCGCCUGGGGAGUACGGUCGCAAGACUGAAACUCAAAUGAAUUGACGG